CCUUUUGAAUUUAAUCUAAGGUCUAAUCUGCCCACUGAGUAAUUAAAUGGCCGCGGUAUUUUGACCGUGCGAAGGUAGCAUAAUCAUUAGUUUUUUAAUUGGAAGCUGGAAUGAAUGAUUGGAUGAGAAAAUAACUGUCUCAAGUUAAUUUUUUUAGAAAUUUAUUUUUAAGUUAAAAAGCUUAAAUAUAUUUAAAAGACGAGAAGACCCUAUAGAGUUUUAUAUUUUUAUUUUAUUAAAUUUAAAUUGUUUUUAUUUAUUUAAUAAGUUAAGAUUAUUUUGUUGGGGUGACAGAAAAAUUUAAUAAACUUUUUUUUUAUUUAAAUACUAAUAAGUAAGUGUUUGAUCCAAAGUUUUUGAUUAAAAGAUUAAAUUACCUUAGGGAUAACAGCGUAAUUAUUUUUGAGAGUUCUUAUCGAAAAAAUAGAUUGCGACCUCGAUGUUGGAUUAAAAUUAAGUUUUGGUGUAGAAGCUAAAAUUUUAGGUCUGUUCGACCUUUAAAACUUU
Molecule: ribosomal RNA, 507 nt
Filed under: Cymatodera punctata
Lineage: Eukaryota; Metazoa; Arthropoda; Insecta; Coleoptera; Cleridae
Description: partial 16S ribosomal RNA
Rfam family: Bacterial large subunit ribosomal RNA (bases 384-507)
Source: RNAcentral